UAAACCAGACACACCGUACCUUGC
This 24-nucleotide non-coding RNA is filed under the name Arabidopsis thaliana (thale cress). The record is from RNAcentral. Lineage: Eukaryota; Viridiplantae; Streptophyta; Magnoliopsida; Brassicales; Brassicaceae.